GUUUGGUGGACAGACUAUCCCGCAUUGGAGAGAGUUGUGAUGAUAGUCCAGAAAUGAGUUAAUUAUAUUUUAGAGACAGACCCAUCAUCUCCUUGUCAUUCCACCUUCUCAAUGAAGCAGAAUCCAUGCAAAAGAGUCUCACAAAAUGGCAGCCACCCGGCCUGAGCCCUCUUCUCAAUGCUAUACUGAGUUAUCGCACGUAAGUUCUGGUAGCUGUUUCUAAGACCAUGACCUGCUUACGUUCCUGUUGAGAAUAUAUAUAUCCCACGUUGAAAAUAAUAGAAAUGAAAGGGUGAGUAUAAGUGAUUGAG
This 311-nucleotide unclassified non-coding RNA is filed under the name Hevea brasiliensis (rubber tree). Lineage: Eukaryota; Viridiplantae; Streptophyta; Magnoliopsida; Malpighiales; Euphorbiaceae. The record is from RNAcentral.